AGAAGGGCUUCCAUGACGGCAACGUUUCGGGGGCCUUUUUCUUUUGC
Non-coding RNA from Agrobacterium tumefaciens, 47 nucleotides. It matches the Rfam family "ctRNA". Rfam says of the family: This family represents a group of ctRNAs (or counter-transcribed RNAs) from p42d and related plasmids. ctRNAs are small, highly structured, antisense sequences which are involved in negative regulation. Members of this family are known to bind to the mRNA of repC causing translational repression. Lineage: Bacteria; Pseudomonadati; Pseudomonadota; Alphaproteobacteria; Hyphomicrobiales; Rhizobiaceae. The record is from Rfam.